ACGGCUCAGUAACACGUGGAUAACCUGCCCUGCGGUGGGAAAUAACCCCGGGAAACUGGGGAUAAUGUCCCAUAGGCUACGGAUGCUGGAAUGCUCUGUAGCUCAAAGAUUUAUCGCCACAGGAUGGGUCUGCGGCCGAUUAGGUAGUUGUUGGGGUAACGGCCCAACAAGCCUUUGAUCGGUACGGGUUGUGGGAGCAAGAGCCCGGAGAUGGAUUCUGAGACACGAAUCCAGGCCCUACGGGGCGCAGCAGGCGCGAAAACUUUACAAUGCGGGAAACCGUGAUAAGGGAACUCCGAGUGUCCGUCAAUGCGGACUGUCCGUAUGUUUAAAAAGCAUGCGAAGAAAGGGCCGGGCAAGACCGGUGCCAGCCGCCGCGGUAAUACCGGCGGCUCGAGUGGUGGCCACUAUUACUGGGCUUAAAGCGUUCGUAGCUGGGUUGUUAAGUCUCUUGGGAAAUCUACCGGCUUAACCGAUAGGCGUCCAAGGGAUACUGGCAAUCUAGGGACCGGGAGAGGUGAGGGGUACUUCAGGGGUAGGAGUGAAAUCCUGUAAUCCUUGGGGGACCACCUGUGGCGUAGGCGCCUCACCAGAACGGCUCCGACAGUGAGGGACGAAAGCUGGGGGAGCAAACCGGAUUAGAUACCCGGGUAGUCCCAGCCGUAAACGAUGCGCGUUAGGUGUAUCGAUGACCACGAGUCAUCGAGGUGCCGAAGGGAAACCGUGAAACGCGCCGCCUGGGAAGUACGGUCGCAAGGCUGAAACUUAAAGGAAUUGGCGGGGGAGCAC
Molecule: ribosomal RNA, 789 nt
Filed under: uncultured archaeon
Lineage: Archaea
Description: bacterial SSU rRNA
Rfam family: Archaeal small subunit ribosomal RNA
Source: RNAcentral